Molecule: long non-coding RNA, 1854 nt
Filed under: Homo sapiens (human)
Lineage: Eukaryota; Metazoa; Chordata; Mammalia; Primates; Hominidae
Description: HSALNT0212922
Source: RNAcentral
AGUGCCUUGAGAGAUUGCUUGGUAUACUUAAUGUCAAUUUGAAAAACAAAACUACUAACAAAGUGGAAAAGAGAUACAAUUAUUGUUUAGUCACAUCCGUAGCUUGCUUAGAAUCUCUUUCCUCCCUGAUGUGCUUUUAAAAAAAAUUCUUCUCACUCUGCUAUUAAGCUGUCAGCUAAGGAAAUGUCUUAGCAGUAUGAAACAGCUGGGUGGAAGAGAUUUGCAUUGGUGAGCUUGUGCCCGGAUUUCUACUGCAUAGCCCUUUCUUUCUAUAUAUAUGUUGUUUCACAGUGACACCAUAACACUAGUUGAUACAAUAACAUUUUGCCAUGAAACAAGAUUUUCAACACAGGAGCCUCAGGGAUUUGGUACCAACACAGUUGGUGCAUCAUUAACUUGAAUCUAGAUUGUUAGACUGUUGGAUUUUUUCCUCCUUUGUUUAAUCUCUAGUUGCAUCAGUGUAGGAUAAAAAGGUGUACAUUUCAGGGCUGAAAAAGAUAAUCUUAUAAGACAAGACCCAUCUGUUAAUCUUCUCUGCAAAUUCAUUGUUUUGUCCUGUUUUAAUGACUUUGCCCAAGUAAGUGUACUAACCAUGGACAUAGAAAGGAGUGGAGAUGUGUUCCACUAAGACAGGGGUUGAGGAAGAGAAAUGGAGUUCCUAGGUUCUGAAGAUAUGCUUUGUUCCAGUAGCUUCAGUGAGAUGUGCCUUGUUAUUGAAGCCAUCUGUCAUUCUCCACUCUUAUCCUACCCACCCCUACACAGAAAACCUGAGCAUAUUCUGAUCUGCUUUUCUACUCUUGACAGAAUGUUUUAAAUCCCAUAUGUUUUGAUACUGUUGAGAUGGUAACGACACAUGUGAAAAGGAUCCCUUCUUCAGCAUGACUUUAGCGGCUUUUUUUGGCUCCUAGUGCAGGCUUUGAACAAGGCUGCCAGCAAGCCCUUUGUGAGGCAUGCAGUGUCAUGCCUCCCACUCUCGGGAAGUCACACGGAGUGAGAAGGGAUGGAAAGGGUAAUUACAAGGUUCUUCCUAGACCCCUGUUCAUUCUCUCACACAAACCUCCCUCUAGUCUUUUUUUCCCUGCAUCCACUUUACUUUAGUGGCAUCCCACUCUUAAUAGAUAAGACUUAAAAAUGAAUGUAGAUGAAUUUUUAAAACCUAUUUGCUCAUCUUUUUUGUAAGGUAUACUUUUUUUAAAAUAAGAUACCCCUGAAGCCUGCCAAAGAAGCCUUUUCACUACAGUACAAGAGGUCCAAGUGGUGGCCUUUCACCAUGGGAAAUCCAACCCUUCAAAUAAAAUAUUAAAAUAAUUUUUAAAAUAAUUUUUGAUAUCCCAGCAUUCCAGAAAAAUAACCAAGCCUUUCCUAACUGGCACAUCAGAAGGAAUCAGAAGGCUUAGCUGGUAUAAGCCAUUCCAGGGAGAAGUCAAGAAAAAUAAUUGUUGCAUUUUUAUUACUCAGUACCCAAUAUUGAGUAUAUAAUGGGCUGACCAUUCUCUACUCAGUUUAUAAGAACAGCAUUCUCUAAUGACUUGCACUGAUUGAGAAUGUUUACGAGGUUCUUAUUGGUUAGGCAUCAGUGUGUUAUCAACAGGUACCCUCCUGACAGUGGAGACAGGAGUUUAGCCUACUGACUUGGCUCACUUAUCUUUAUGGCUGUUCACUUUUCUGCCUCUGCUUUUGGAAAUGGUUGAGAGUCAGAGUCAAGGAGUAUUUUGCCCUGUCCUCUACAUGUUAGGAAGGGUGUUUCAGAGGCCCAGGAUUCUUGCUAUUAGCUAUAGUGGUGUUAUGGAGGAUAAAUUCUUUAUCUCUCACUUUUGGAACCCCAUCUUGAACGCCAGCUUGGAGUCCAAAAGG